This 1317-nucleotide ribosomal RNA is filed under the name Gredgaria maugeana. Its description in RNAcentral is "small subunit ribosomal RNA". It matches the Rfam family "Bacterial small subunit ribosomal RNA". The record is from RNAcentral. Lineage: Eukaryota; Rhodophyta; Florideophyceae; Ceramiales; Rhodomelaceae.
AAUAAAAAGAGUUUGAUCCUGGCUCCGAAUGAAUGCUUUUGGUUAAUUUUACACAUGCAAGUUAUCAUAUAUAUAUAUAGCGUACGGGUGAGUAAAAUAUAAAAAUAACUUCUUUUGAAAAAGUUUAUAAAAGAUUAAGUAUUAAUUGUAUUAAAAUAGCAAAUUAGCUUAUAAUCUUUAGUUGAUCUUUGAGGAUGAUCAACCACAUUGGAAUUGAAAAAUGGUCCAGACUACAUUUAGGCAGCAGUGAAGAAUAUUGGACAAUGAGUGAAAGCUUGAUCCAGUUAAACCAAUUAUGUGAUGAAGAUUUUUUAUUGUAAAACAUUAAAUAUAAAAUGAUUUAUGCUAUUUUAUAUUUUAGUCCUGGCUAAUUUCGUGCCAGCAGCCGCGGUAAAACGAGAAGGGCAAGUGUUAUUCAAAUUUAUUGGGCGUAAAGAAUUAUUCGGUUGUAGAUUAUUGUAUAUUUUUUUUAGUUAAAUAAAUAGUUUCUUUUCUAAAUAACUAUUAAAUAAAUUUACUUGAGUUUAAAUAAAAAGAUUUCAGAAUUUUAGGUGUAACAGUAAAAUGUGAUGAUAUUUAAAAGAAUUUCGAAGGUGAAUACAGAAAUCUAUUUUAAAACUGACACUUUUUAAUUAAAGUAUAGGGAGCAAAAGGGAUUAGAUACCCCUGUAGUCUAUACCCUGAACUAUGAAUGUUGUUUUUUUAAAAAACAAUUAAAAUUAACGUAAAACAUUUCGCCUGGGUAUUACGAUCGCAAGUUUAAAACUCAAAGGAAUUGACGGGAAUUCAAACAAGCAGUGGAGCAUGUGGUUUAAAUUGACAAUACGCGUGAAACCUUACCAAUUUUUGUUAUCAGGUGUUGCAUGGCUGUCGUCAGUCCGUGCUUUGAAGUGUUUGGUUUAUUCCAAUAAACGGACGAAACUUUUUUGUGUUAAAAUAAUUUUACAUAAUUAAAUAAAGAUAUUUUAUUAAAAUGAAAACGAUGACAAGUCCUCAUGACCCUUAUAAAUUGGUCUACUUUCAUGUGCUACAAUAUUCUUUCCAAAUAAAAAUAAAAAAAGAAAUUUUUUAGAUAAAAUUAAAAAAGAAUAAUUAUGAAUUAUUUUCUGAAACUUGAAAAUAUAAAACUGAAAUUGCUAGUAAUCGUUUAUUAGAAUGUUACGGUGAAUUUGUUCUUGAAUUUUGUACACACCGCCNCGUCACGCUAUGGAAAUCAAAUUUACUUGAAGAAUUUAUUAAUUUUAGAGUGAAGCGAAGACUAGAGUGAAGUCGUAACAAGGUAGUUGUAGGGGAACCUGUGGCUGGAAUAAAAAAAAU